RNAcentral lists this transfer RNA (75 nucleotides) under Alaria marginata. RNAcentral's name for it is "tRNA-Met". It matches the Rfam family "tRNA". Rfam says of the family: Transfer RNA (tRNA) molecules are approximately 80 nucleotides in length. Their secondary structure includes four short double-helical elements and three loops (D, anti-codon, and T loops). The record is from RNAcentral. Lineage: Eukaryota; Phaeophyceae; Laminariales; Alariaceae.
UGCGCUAUAGAGCAGUCAGGUUAGCUUAUCAGGCUCAUGCCCUGGAGGUCGUAGGUUCAAAUCCUUCUGGCGCUA